CUUCCUGAGCAUAUUGCGGAUGAAUGGCCUAAAGUUAAAGUAACCAAUUUUUACCGUAAAAUGCCACAUUGAACACAGAAGAAGACCACUGUUCAUCUAAAGUUAUCGGAGAACAGCUUUUUGAGACAAGGCAAACAGGCACUACAUCCAUGAUAAAGCCUCAUUAGUCUCUGUCAGUCAACCUUAGAUAUGACAGGAACAGACCUGAGUGCCAGUCAGAGACACAGAUGGUGUAUAAUGCCAUGUAGAAAAUACAGUGGAAUUGAUGGAGAUCACUAGUAUAUUCAACCAACCAAGAUUUUCAGUGUGAAACAGUGACAUGAUGUCAUAGCGGUUCAGUUAUCAGUGUGCUGCAGUGAUGUGAUUCUCCUACUUGGCCAGCAUUAUGGACAGCUUGUCUUCUUAUUUUAAAGGGCUGUUGUCUCCACGGCCUCCUAAAAGAAGGUUACCAGGAAAUGAUCAUCAGAAGUUGGAGAAAAAGACAGAAGUUGAUGGUUCGUGUUGCACCUCAACCAAUGAAGGAGAUGUAAAAGUGACAGUCAAACAAGGGAAAGAGGAUGGCGUAUGGAUAUUAGAGUAUAUUAUAAAAGGCAAUAAAGAUCCAGAGUUUGGUAUUAGGCUGGGGAGUGUACAAUCUGAGACAGAAAGUCAUCAAUUACAACAAGAUGGAAAACCAAAGACUGUGAUACAGGUAGUUGAGCUACGGCCUGGCAGUAUUGCAGACAGUGGAAAUCAUUUACAAGUUCAUGAUGAAGUUCAAGAAAUAAAUGGACAUGUGCUGCACUUAAUAUCACAAGAAAGAGCACGAUGGUUUCUCAACAGUGCUGUAAGGUCAGGACGAGUGAUGAUGGUUGUAAGACGACCAAAGAAGACUUUAAAAUCUCCCAAUGUAUCUGACAUUGAAGGCCAUCCAGAAACUGCAAGUCCUCAAACAGAAGAUCAUAGUGGAAAAAGAGAUGACAUUGAGAGUAUAGAUGCUGAUGCUAAUCCAAAACUUGAAGGUAGCAGCGAAACAGAAAAACAUAGUAUGAGAAAGUCUUCCAGGGAUAGAUCAAAAGAUGGCAAAUCUAAGAAUGUGUCUGUUUCAAAUAUGCAGGAUGUUAGUCACAGUUCCAAACAUUUCCCUAAUACAGAACUAGGUGCUAAAGUGAACACAAUUUCUACUGAGGAUCCAGGGGGAUUCUUGAAAGAGCCCUUGAAGACUGAUGCAGCUGUCACUCCCAAAAAAUCUCAGGGUUUGACAAAAAGUAGAUCUAAACCUCCAAGACUAAAAAGACAAGAUACCACAGAAAGUAAGCACCUGGAGGCCAGUCAAACGAGUGACAAUUCUACACCUAGCCCAAAACAGAAAGAAAUACCCUGUACAAUGAGACACCAUUCCAAGGAAAGGACUAGGGACAUAAACAGAAAUGCAUUGCUGUUGGAGCCAAAUUUAGAUCUAGAAACUUUGCCAGAAGGAUUGGGAAGAACGCUAAGUGCCAAGAGGAAGAAGGUUGUUGGGCUCCAGUUGGUGAAGGAUGAUUCUGGCUUGGGAUUGCAGAUAGCUGGUGGCAAGGGUUCCAAAAGAGGAGACAUAGGCAUAUUUGUGGCAGGCAUAGAUAAAGGCAGACCAGCAGACAAGGAUGGAAGACUGAGAAAAGGGGAUGAGCUGUUGGUGGUCAAUGGUAAAAAAUUAAUCGGAAAAACACACCAAGAAGCAGUAAAUAUUAUCAAGGAAGCACCUAAAGUUGUGGACUUAGUGAUAGCAGCAAGAGGCAAACACAGUCGUAAUGCUUCAGAUACGAGCACAGCCUCAUCAGCCUCCUUGGAGGUGAAAACUCCACAAGAGCCAAGCCCUACAACUGCUCUGUUGCCAGACACAAGUAAACACCAGGUAACCCCCAGCAGGGAAAACUCACGAUCUUCCCUUCUUGGCAACAAGAGCCCCAAAAUGACAAAAAGCCCCAAAAUGUCCUCUCCUCGAAAAGUAACUCUGGUAAAAGGUGCUGGAGGAAAGGGCCUAGGCUUCAGCAUCGUGGGAGGAGAAGAUUCUGCAAAGGGAAGGAUGGGGAUUUACGUUAAAACCAUUUUUCCAAAUGGUCUAGCUGCAGAAGAUAGAAGGUUGCAACCAGGUGAUGAAAUCUUAGAUGUGAAUGGCCAGUCUAUGCAAGGUUUGACACACAGUGAAGCCAUUACCACCUUUAAACAGCUGAAGAAAGGAGAAGUGUCACUCGUUGUUAAAAGCAGAAUCUUCAGUCCAGAUACAAGUCCAAAGUCAGACCGCAGGUCUCUCAGUUUCUCAAAGCUCAGUCUUCCACCUAUGGACAUCACCAACAAGAUGGCUUUGAUGAGUGGGGCAUCUGCUCUGGCAGCAGAAGGUGAAGAAAAUGAAAAUGAGCCUAUCAAAGAGGUCACUUUAUAUAAAGAACAAGGCAUAGGUUUGGGAAUUGGUGUUGUUUGUAGAUCAUUAAUGGAGGAUCAGAGAGGAAUAUUUAUUGAGGAUCUUGCUCCUCAUUCUCCAGCUGACUUGGAUGGAAGGUUGAGGAAUGGUGACCAAAUUCUUCAGGUGAAUGAGUACAAUCUGACCAAUGUUAGCCUUAAGGAAGCCUAUUCUAUAUUCGGUGCAUUGAAGCCAGGUCACGUAAAACUCAUCAUUCUAAGGAACCUGGCCUCUGUGUCAUCUCCACCAUCUAGUUCAGGUGGCUCCUUGUCUCCCACAAGAGUCAAACAUGUCCUGCCACCAGAUUUAUGCAGAGAAAGCUUCCAUGUUGAUGACACAGGUCAGACGCGUGGAGGUAACGUGUGUAGUAAGUACGUAUUGAACCUUGUAUUCAUUAUUAUGACUAGUAACCCUCAAUGUAGAUUGUCUGUCGCUGCAUCCUGUAAGGUAUAGUAGAACUGGUUGUGGUACGGAGUUAACAAAAACUGAUAAAAAACUCUUCAAUCACACAUUUAUUACCCUAUGAAGUUAAGAAAGUGAAGGGGUAGUUGUCUCAGUAUUUGUUGAUGUGGUAAUACAUAUAUCUUGGUGUUCACAACCUUGUUGAUGUGGAUUUCGUUGUUGUAGUUUGUACCAAAAUAUAUCUGGAUCUCGUGGUUUUGGAUAAUAGUGGUAAAAAAAAUUGAUUGCAUGAGAAUAAGGCAUCUUAUCACUCACUAUUUGGUGUGGAGAUUUUUAAUUACAGAAGUAUAAAAAUGGUGGAUUGAGGGUUGGAUUAAUGAUAAAUUAUGAAAAUCUGCUUAAUCAAUGAUUGUUCCUCAGCUGAACACCAAAUGCAUGCUGUGAAUUACAAGACAGUUAUGUUUUGAAAAUGUCAAGUCUUGUAUUCAUGUUGUAUUUAACCUCUGCAACCAGAAUUGAUAUUCAAAUCCUGAACAAUUUAUUAACCUCGUUGUCAGUUAUUUUAUGGAAUGGAGUGAAUAUUUUUGUUUUGUUUUUAUCGUACAUGGUGUUUGAAUGUCUGGUCUUGACUGGGUGUUUUGCAUUCAGUCAAAAAAGAAAUAUUCACCUUGCUUGUUUCUCCUUGUCUGAAAAAAAUGUGCAUUGUUGUCUUGUAUCAAACUUCAGUUAUGUUCAAAAUUCAAGGAAUUUUUUUUUAUAUAGUUGCAAUAAAAAGGAAAAACAUGACAUUCCCUGUAUUGAUUGAUGCUAAGAUGUCAUUAGUGGAGGGUCAUGUGUGUUUGGUCUGUUGUUAGUAGUUGUAAUAUUAAAUGAAUAUUUGAUGCAAAGAGAUGACUGAUGAUUGUGUUCUACUGAUUAAUUUAGGUUCUACUUUCAAAUUAGAAAUUAAAUAUUGGUGGGGUUUUUAAUGAUCACUUAGAAAUGUUUCUUAUAACAAGUAGAGAUUAUGGACUUGGAAAAGGGGCUCUUUUUCAUUUUGUUAUGGAAAGCUACUCGUUUUGCUACACUUAGUUUGAGUACAUAUUGUGUUGGUUAUGUUUUAGUGAGUUUUAUUAUCAUUUCAGACUCUUUGUAUGAGGUAGCAGUCAGUGAAGCACCCAAAGAAGAACAGGGUGGACAGUCUCCAUCUUCCAUUGUGCCACCAUCGGGGGAGGAGGACG
Lingula anatina is the source of this 4041-nucleotide unclassified non-coding RNA. The record is from RefSeq and is a predicted model, not a curated record. NCBI's taxonomy places the organism in Eukaryota, Metazoa, Brachiopoda, Lingulata, Lingulida, Lingulidae.